Molecule: long non-coding RNA, 582 nt
Filed under: Brassica napus (rape)
Lineage: Eukaryota; Viridiplantae; Streptophyta; Magnoliopsida; Brassicales; Brassicaceae
Description: long non-coding RNA (BNAP_LNC013625)
Source: RNAcentral
UGAGCUUUCUUUUCCUUGCUUGCUUCUUUCCAUCAUUAGCACCAUCGGCUCUCAGAUCACCAAUCUCAUCUUCUGCAGCAAGUCUGGCUAUGAGUUGUUGAGUCCCCAAGUCACAGGUAGCUGGUGGCAAGUAGUCAGUAUUCAAAGUGAACUGCUCUUCUAAGUUUUUUAAAUUUGUUAAUAUUUUUAAUUAAAUUUUGUAAAAUUAUGAUACUUAAAAAUUAAAAAAUUUAAAUGUGCUUGAGGACAAGCAACAUUAACAUUCUCAAACAACAAGCAUCUAACAACAGAUCAAGGCAAGACAACAAGCAUCUAACAACAUAUCAAGGCAUUCCUAUCAAUUCUUACUAGUUCUAAGAAAGACAGCGAGUUCUCACAUCAAUACAUCGAGUUCUAAGCAAGACAAUGAGUUCUCCUAUCUAAACCGUGAGUCCUAUCUAAACAGUGAGUUCCCUUAUCUAAACCGUGAGUCCUAUCAAUGCUUACUAGUUCUGCGUAAGAAGUGACUAACCUAAGGUCCUUAAGCUGUUAUAUCGGAAUGAAAGGCUGGUAAGCUGACAUGCUGACGCCUCCUAGUUCACC